This 305-nucleotide ribosomal RNA is filed under the name uncultured bacterium. RNAcentral's name for it is "bacterial SSU rRNA". It matches the Rfam family "Bacterial small subunit ribosomal RNA", at positions 337 to 634 of the family's 1533-position model. The record is from RNAcentral.
CCCUACGGGGGGCAGCAGUAGGGAAUCUUCCCCAAUGGGCGAAAGCCUGAUGGAGCGACGCCGCGUGGGUGAAGAAGGUCUUCGGAUCGUAAAACCCUGUUGUUAGAGAAGAAAGUGCGUGAGAGUAACUGUUCACGUUUCGACGGUAUCUAACCAGAAAGCCACGGCUAACUACGUGCCAGCAGCCGCGGUAAUACGUAGGUGGCAAGCGUUAUCCGGAUUUAUUGGGCGUAAAGGGAACGCAGGCGGUCUUUUAAGUCUGAUGUGAAAGCCUUCGGCUUAACCGUAGCAGUGCAUUGGAAACU